This 253-nucleotide ribosomal RNA is filed under the name uncultured bacterium. RNAcentral describes it as "partial 16S ribosomal RNA". It matches the Rfam family "Bacterial small subunit ribosomal RNA", at positions 524 to 776 of the family's 1533-position model. The record is from RNAcentral.
UACGAAGGGGGCUAGCGUUGUUCGGAAUUACUGGGCGUAAAGGGUGCGUAGGCGGGUCUUUAAGUCAGGGGUGAAAUCCUGGAGCCCAACUCCAGAACUGCCUUUGAUACUGAGGAUCUUGAGUUCGGGAGAGGUGAGUGGAACUGCGAGUGUAGAGGCGAAAUUCGUAGAUAUUCGCAAGAACACCAGUGGCGAAGGCGGCUCACUGGCCCGAUACUGACGCUGAGGCACGAAAGCGUGGGGAGCAAACAGG